UAACGGUUGGAAAUCCCGAGAAAGAACUUUGGAUCACCGGAAGCGUGAUUUGAGCGGAUGGUGGGAUAUCGAGAGGCCGGCUCGUUUGAUUCUGGGGUUUCUCGUGGAAAAGUGGCGGCUUUUUUUAGGAUUUGGUGAUCUCUGGAGCACAGAAGCCUCUUCCCUGAGAGGAUUGCUGCAGACGAAGCGCAAGGUGUUGAUGUAGGUAAUUCGAGUGCUAAAUGAGCCUCUUGAUCCGUGGGUGUGAGGUGAGAUUUUCUUCUUUUCCUUCUUGUUUUACCGUAGGUUCUCGAAUCUAAUUCGUUUUUUCAUCAUUUGUUCUUCGUCUAUGAUCCGAGGAGAACAAGAACCUCCUGGCUCUUGUGCGAGACGGAAUGGGAUGAUCUCCUUGAGGUUUUGUUCGGAAGAUUUACGAUUCUGCAGCUUUCAUGCCAUUCUUGCUCAAUGAGUCAGCGGUGCUGAGAGUAAUCAAAUCAGUUGAAAUGGCUCAUCUAUAUUAUUUUUAUUUUUCAUUUUUUUUCCAGAUUAAACUUCCGAGUUCUUGUUUUCCUUCUUAAUUUUAGCGGAUUAUAUAUCAAGUUUCAAGUCUUUCUUGAAGUUAUUUUUCUGAAUCCUCCAAGAAGAUAAAUAAUAGUGUACGAUUUUCUUACAUUUGAAAGUUGAAAUUUGUUCUUUUUUUCCCCCCUUCUCUUGGUGACUUUAAAUUUGAUUCUUGUGCUCAGGUGGGGUUUUUCUUAUUUCAUCCUUCAUCUAUCUUUUGUUCCUUAAUUUUCUUGCUUUGAAUAAAAGCAUGGAGUAGUUACAGUAAAGUUCUUGGUGCUGCGAAGGAAAACGACAAUUUUUAGUGUAUAAGAGCAUCCGGUUAUGAUGACAAGAACAGUCAUGAAUCCAACCAAGGUUCUGCAAAGCUACCAUGCUCAGCACAGGCAUGCGCGUGAACGCUUUUGAUUCUAACCCAGGACAUCAGGCCUAUAAGGACAUCAGGCAUGGUGAGGAUCAUGACGAAGGAAGCUGCACAUUGUUCAUGGGGCACUAUGGUUUAUAAAGACACCCGCACCUAGGUCAUUCCUUGGAACAAUCUCUGCAGAUAUAUGCUAGAAAAAUGUGGCACCUUGACCAAGAGAACUAUGCCCCGGGGAACUAUCAAGAAACUAUUUUAAUGGAUUAUUCACAAGUUAUCAGAUUGAUGCAGCAAUUACUAUCCUGAAGGAGCACUCUACUUCCCAACUAAACUGAGUGUAUGCCAUGUACAACUCAGCCUUGCUCACACUUCUCUCUCUUUCCCACUUCUGUUCUGCAAUCCCAACAUACUCUGCAGUGUAAUUGAGUAUGCCCUUUUUCCAAAUAUCUGCCUUUUUGGGUGUUUCAAUGGUUCUUCACAGUUCUCAUGACAGUGUUAAUACUUUCUGAGCAAGAUCCUCGUCCAGGACUCUGGAAUUGCCAGAGUAAAUUCCCUCUUUAUGAGUUCUUUUGCAUCAUAAUCUCAAUAUUUGAGAACUUUGAGGCAUGGAAGUGUACUAAACCCUGCUUUUCUCUAAAAAAAAAGAUGUUCAUCAAGGAAAACUGGGCUUGUUGAGGCAUGGAAGUGUACCAAACCCUGCUUUUCUCUAUAAAAAAGAUGUUCAUCGAGGAAAACUGGGCUUGUUCACCUCUGAUGCCUCGCUGCCUACCAUUUUAUACGGGAGGCGAGUUGACAAAAUGUUCCUUCUGUUUUCUCCAAAAGGCAUUAAGAGCUUGUCGUCCGUCAUUAGAAUCGUAGACUUAGGUGCAGAGUUUGUACUUUCUUAAACUUCUUUGUAUCUCAAAGCUAUCAGAAGUUUCACAUUCUUCAUUGGGUCCUGAUUUAAUAAUGACUAAUGCUAGAUCUUUCUUGCCAGUUACAUUCUGAAAUAUUCUGAGAUGUAUGUGGAAAUCAAUGAGAAAGGAAGAGGAGGGUUGUGAAAGAGGCAUCUUUGCAGGAUAAAGAGAGAAACAGAAACAUUGAUUUAAAAAUGACUACUUCGUUGGAAGCAGAACCUGCAAGCCUCCUGCAAGAUUUUGGGGUGGAAAAGAGAUGUCUGCUGUCAUCAGGAAUGAGCAGGCCUGCAGAUAAACCCUAAGCAAGAUUGUUCAAAUGGCUCACAAAACCCAAGUAAGGCAAUUCUGUAGUGCCAAUUAUGCAUGUGCUAGCUGUCUGUACAAUACACCGUAAGUUCUUGAUUGUCUAUAUGAGCAAGUUGCUGUAUGGUUCAAUCUUUUUUGGUGGAAAUUCCCAAGUCAAUUCAUUCUUGAUUGUCUAAACCCAAGAUUCAUAUGUUAUUGCUGAUCCAUAUCCCAUGUAAUUGCUCAGUAGAGUUUAUGUUGGGGAUCCAAAAUAAUAAUAUAAAAAUGGGAUCAAAUUAAGGAAUGUUUUAUUAUUUUAACAAUUAGAGAAGCCAUCCAGUUUAUUCUGCA
Musa acuminata subsp. malaccensis (wild Malaysian banana) is the source of this 2433-nucleotide non-coding RNA. The record is from RefSeq and is a predicted model, not a curated record. Lineage: Eukaryota; Viridiplantae; Streptophyta; Magnoliopsida; Zingiberales; Musaceae.